This 919-nucleotide ribosomal RNA is filed under the name uncultured archaeon. RNAcentral describes it as "partial 16S ribosomal RNA". It matches the Rfam family "Archaeal small subunit ribosomal RNA", at positions 1 to 922 of the family's 1478-position model. The record is from RNAcentral.
UUCCGGUUGAUCCUGCCGGAGGCCAUUGCUAUCGGAGUCCGAUUUAGCCAUGCUAGUCGCACGGGUUCAGACCCGUGGCGAACAGCUCAGUAACACGUGGCCAAACUGCCCUGUGGAUCGGGAUAACCUCGGGAAACUGAGGCUAAUCCCGAAUACGGCUCCCGUCCUGGAGUGGAGGGAGCUGGAAACGUUCCGGCGCCACAGGAUGUGGCUGCGGCCGAUUAGGUAGACGGUGGGGUAACGGCCCACCGUGCCGAUAAUCGGUACGGGUCGUGAGAGCGAGAGCCCGGAGACGGUAUCUGAGACAAGAUACCGGGCCCUACGGGGCGCAGCAGGCGCGAAACCUUUACACUGCACGACAGUGCGAUAGGGGGACUCCGAGUGCGAGGGCGUACAGUCCUCGCUUUUCUCGACCGUAAGGAGGUCGAGGAACAAGUGCUGGGCAAGACCGGUGCCAGCCGCCGCGGUAACACCGGCAGCACGAGUGAUGGCCGCUGUUAUUGGGCCUAAAGCGUCCGUAGCCGGCCGGGCAAGUCCGUCGGGAAAUCCACCAGCCCAACUGGUGGGCGCCCGGCGGAAACUGUUCGGCUUGGGGCCGGAAGACCCGAGGGGUACGUCCGGGGUAGGAGUGAAAUCCCGUAAUCCCGGACGGACCGCCGGUGGCGAAAGCGCCUCGGGAGGACGGACCCGACGGUGAGGGACGAAAGCUGGGGUCUCGAACCGGAUUAGAUACCCGGGUAGUCCCAGCCGUAAACGAUGCCCGCUAGGUGUGCCGCAGGCCACGAGCCUGCGCUGUGCCGUAGGGAAGCCGUGAAGCGGGCCGCCUGGGAAGUACGUCUGCAAGGAUGAAACUUAAAGGAAUUGGCGGGGGAGCACUACAACCGGAGGAGCCUGCGGUUUAAUUGGACUCAACGCCGGA